This 377-nucleotide ribosomal RNA is filed under the name uncultured bacterium. RNAcentral describes it as "bacterial SSU rRNA". It matches the Rfam family "Bacterial small subunit ribosomal RNA", at positions 523 to 898 of the family's 1533-position model. The record is from RNAcentral.
AUACGAAGGGUGCAAGCGUUACUCGGAAUUACUGGGCGUAAAGCGUGCGUAGGUGGUUGUUUAAGUCUGUUGUGAAAGCCCUGGGCUCAACCUGGGAACUGCAGUGGAAACUGGACAACUAGAGUGUGGUAGAGGGUAGUGGAAUUCCCGGUGUAGCAGUGAAAUGCGUAGAGAUCGGGAGGAACAUCCGUGGCGAAGGCGACUACCUGGACCAGCACUGACACUGAGGCACGAAAGCGUGGGGGGCAAACAGGAUUAGAGACCCUGGUAGUCCACGCCCUAAACGAUGCGAACUGGAUGUUGGGUUCAACUAGGAACUCAGUAGCGAAGCUAACGCGUUAAGUUCGCCGCCUGGGGAGUACGGUCGCAAGACUGAA